RNAcentral lists this ribosomal RNA (299 nucleotides) under uncultured bacterium. RNAcentral describes it as "partial 16S ribosomal RNA". It matches the Rfam family "Bacterial small subunit ribosomal RNA", at positions 1206 to 1503 of the family's 1533-position model. The record is from RNAcentral.
CGCGUGGGCUCUACACACGUGCUACUUGGCGGUGACUUGGGUUGCCCCCCCGCGAGGGGAAGCUAUUCCCUUGAACCCUUCUCAUUUCGGAUUGGUCUCUGCAAUUCCAAAUCAUGAAGGCGGAAUCGCUAGUAAUCGCGGAUCACCAUGCCCCGGUGAAUACGUUCCCGGGCCUUGGACCCACCGCCCGUCCCCCCAUGGGAUUUGGUUUCCCCCGAAAGCGUUGCGCUUACCCGCAAGAAAGGCGCUAACCCCGGGUGGGUUUAGACACUGGGGUAAAUUCAAAACAGGGUACCCAU